This is a long non-coding RNA of Brassica napus (rape), 1034 nucleotides long. RefSeq lists it as uncharacterized. NCBI's taxonomy places the organism in Eukaryota, Viridiplantae, Streptophyta, Magnoliopsida, Brassicales, Brassicaceae. The record is from RefSeq and is a predicted model, not a curated record. The transcript has 3 exons.
UAUAAUUUAUUAACACAUUUUUUAACUAUACCACUAUUUAAUUAGUAUAACUGUUUACUUUUGGGGACAAGCGGCCAUUUGAAAAUGUAAUCUAUAUAUAAUAGCAAACUCACAGUGAUGUCAACAUUUUUUUAUAGGAAAAUAAAAUUGAAAUCGCAGGGUGGAGAUUGUUGCUGUUAUUCAAUCUAAUGGAUGAAAUUUUAGAUUCAUUUAGACGUCUGACGUCAUCAAUACUAACGCAAAUGGACGCAAACAGCAUCUCUUCGUUUCCUUUUUCUGAAUAGUCACUUCUCAGAAGACACAACUUUUCAGAAUAAAAUACUUUUAACAAAUUUAUUUAUGGUUUCUUAAUCUCAUCAGAUCAUCACUGUGCUUAGUUUCCAUUCAAUUCAUCUUCCUUUCUUCGAAUUUUCUCUUCUUCGUGUGGAUUUUUUUAUUUAGUAUGGAAUAUCUCUUAUCUGUCACCGCCAAUAAACCUAACUGAUGAGUCUUUGUUCCUGCCGUUGAUCUGCAUAUGAACUUUGCUGAAUUUUUCUUUAUUCUCUUUUUUUUUCUGAUAACUACCACUCUUUUCUCUCCCCAACCCACUGAUUAUUUACUUUAUCAUUCUCAGUGGCAGAGAACAUAUCUUCUUUCUCAAAAACUCAGUGAUCUCUUCUGGUAACGUUUUCCAUCCAUAAAAUCAGACCGGACAAGUGGAGGAGAUACAUAUCGAUGUGUUUCCUUCUCACCGAACAAUCACGGUUUCGACUCGCCUUUGAGACCAGAUUCAAUCGGUUAAAUGAACAUAUUCUCAAAAGGUGUGAACUUCAAGUCCAAAGAUAGGCGUCGGUAAACACAAGAUGUGCAUGGAUAUUGCGAAGCUGUGAUAAAAUCUCAUCAAUAAUAUUUGAAUUUGCAAGGAGGCGUUUUUUGACAAAAAUUUGAUAGUGUGCAAUUACACUUUUGUAAAGUGAAGCUUAAAUAAAUGACAAACGAUCUAGAACUGACCGUAUCAUAUAUAGCCAUUAUAUAAAAUUUUGUCUGUUUAUCAA